GUGGCUGGAGAGAUGGCUCAGAGGUUAAGAGCACUGACUGCUCUUCCAGAGGUCCUGAGUUCAAAUCCCAGCAACCACA
This 79-nucleotide transfer RNA is filed under the name Mus musculus (house mouse). Its description in RNAcentral is "tRNA-Ser". Lineage: Eukaryota; Metazoa; Chordata; Mammalia; Rodentia; Muridae. The record is from RNAcentral.